GGCCCUAUGCAGACAAGGAUAUCUGAACAAACCAAAACAGCCUCAUACAUUUAUGACAGAUAUAUAACCAAUUAAAGGUUAGAAGUGACAUGAGGUUUUGGUUUGUUUUUUUCCUGUAUAAUUUCGGGUAGAGGUUUUUUUUUUUUUUUUUCCCUUGAGUUUGUGGAUAGAGCAUCACAACUUUACAAGAAGAAAGAGAGCAUCUUAUUUGAAUGUGAGACAAAAAUUAUGUGAAAUGAAACUGAUUUUGCUGUACAUCAGCGAACUAUUAGUUGAGUGUUGUAUUAAUUAGGACACUUGAUUACAAGUCACAAACAACAAAUUUGAACUAGCUGUAUCAAGUGUGGAAUUGAUUCUUAAAAGAUAAAUUUAUUCUAAGGAUUAAAAGGUUUCUUAAGGAAGGUAAGAAGAGAUUGCAGUUGUGUCCCAAGAAACUGCUGGGACAAUCAAAUGCUUUCGGGAUUCUCAGUCACAUCUCCUUCUCUCCUAUACCAUCUCUUUUAUUGUAGCCUGGCUUCCACUGUUCCUCAUAGGACAGAACAUGAUUGUGAGCAUUCCAUUGUUUUUACAUCCCAUAGUCAAAGCAUACAGAGAGCCUGAUUCAACUCUAAGUCACAAGCUUAAAUUCUUGAGAUAGGAGUUCCCAUCAUGGCUCAGCAGUUAACAAACCUGUCUAGUAUCCAUGAGGGCGCGAGUUCAAACCCUGGCCUCGCUUACUGGGUUAAGGAUCUGGUGUUGCCAUGAGCUGUGGUGUAGGUUGUCGACGUGGGUCAGAUCUGAUGUUGGUGUGGCUGUGGUGUAGGCUGGCAGCUGUAGCUCCGAUUCAACUCCUAGCCUGGGAACCUCCAUAUGCUGUGGGUGCAGCGCUAAAAAGACAAAAAGACAAUACAUACAUAAAUAAAUAAAUUCUUGAGAUAUCUUUCAAUAUAUAUACAGAAAUUCAUAAGUACAUGUAGACAUAAACAUAUGUCUAUGAAUUCAGUUUAUAUUUAAGACUUUCAGUGUAGGCUAUGCUAUAGCAUUGUAGAUGUUCUUAUCUGUUACUGGAAGGAAUAUGAUUUUAUACAAUGUUUUUGAGAAGUAAUUUGAAACUAUGUACCAGGAAUUAUAGAAAUGAUUAUUCACCUAGAUCCAAUGUGGUCUUGUUACCUUAGCAAAGCUCUAUGAUUGAAGUUUUGAUAUGUUUCUUUUGCAUUUUUCCUGAGUAUUGUAAGUGCAUUGAACAAAAAAUUGAAUAGGUUAAUGGCUCUUAGAGCUUUUAAUACCUUUUUUUCUCUAGUUUCUAAAAUUUGGAUAAUGAAUGUAAAUUUAGUUUAUAAAUAAUUGACCUUAGACAUCAGGAUCAAUAAUGCCUGUCCCUUCCACAAUCCUUUCUUGCCCCUACUUCUUUAUUCAAAUUUAUCUUAAAAUAGCAUAUUCUUAUUUUUUUUACUUUGACUCCUCAGUUAAGUUACUCAGACAAUGAAAACACUUUGUUCAGAUGACUUUACAUCUUUGAAAACAUUUUUUGAUCUUGAAAUUUUAUCUCCUAAUCUAUGAAUACUUGUCCAAAUUUAGUAUUUAACAUACACCUUUUCUCUUUUCAUAUUACUUUACCAGUCAAUACCAUUCUUCUUUUAGCCAUUAUUGUUUUUUUCUAUUGCUCUCUAAUGAGAGUUUGUCAUUUUCAGACAGCUUUGUACUGUGCUUUGAAAGUACUGGUUUCCAAGCUGUGAAUCCACUGUAUCUAUGCUGUGAAGAGUGAUUUGUUUCUUAUAUGUCAUGGUGCCUUUUUAUAUGCUGCGAGGAUGAUCAUUCAAAUGAUUCCCUUAUUUACAUGGGCUGCUUUAACUAAAGAAAAGUAUGCGUUAAGGAUAUGUAGAAAAUUAAGGCAUAAAUGUCUGAAACAGUCAGUUAACAGACAAAUCUUACUGAGUCUCAAUUAUCGUACUGCAUAUGUCAAUACUUAACAUCACAAGGUAUCACAAAAGAAGCUGUGCUCUUCUCAGGAAGGACUUUGCAAUGAAAUGGAUUGUAACAAAACUGUAUAUAUGCCUACUUAGGCAUAAGAAAUUAUUUUAAAAAACUGUCUAAACCUAAAUGACUGAAGAGUAAUAUCUAAGGAAAUACGGAGAAAGCCUACAAUUUCUUAGGCUAGUUAAGUGGAAUAGCUGAACUCUAUGUAACUAUGCUUUUCAACCCAGUAACUAUAUGCAGUUCCAUAAAAAAGAAUAUUAUAUUAGAGAAAAAGAACAGGACAUUACUUAAAUAAAAAAUGGAAAAAAAAAA
Molecule: long non-coding RNA, 2268 nt
Filed under: Sus scrofa (pig)
Lineage: Eukaryota; Metazoa; Chordata; Mammalia; Artiodactyla; Suidae
Description: lncRNA (ENSSSCG00040022054.1)
Source: RNAcentral